GGGAAUGUAGCUCAGUGGUAGAGCAUAUGCUUUGCAUGUAUGAAGCCCUGGGUUCAAUCCCUGGCAUCUCCA
Molecule: non-coding RNA, 72 nt
Organism: Emys orbicularis (European pond turtle)
Lineage: Eukaryota; Metazoa; Chordata; Testudines; Emydidae
Source: the annotation of a RefSeq genome assembly